CCUGAUGCAGCGACGCCGCGUGAGGGAUGACGGCCUUCGGGUUGUAAACCUCUUUCAGCAGGGAAGAAGCGCAAGUGACGGUACCUGCAGAAGAAGCACCGGCUAACUACGUGCCAGCAGCCGCGGUAAUACGUAGGGUGCGAGCGUUGUCCGGAAUUAUUGGGCGUAAAGAGCUUGUAGGCGGUUUGUCGCGUCUGCCGUGAAAAUCCGGGGCUCAACCCCGGACCUGCGGUGGGUACGGGCAGACUAGAGUGUGGUAGGGGAGACUGGAAUUCCUGGUGUAGCGGUGAAAUGCGCAGAUAUCAGGAGGAACACCGAUGGCGAAGGCAGGUCUCUGGGCCACUACUGACGCUGAGAAGCGAAAGCAUGGGGAGCGAACAGGAUUAGAUACCCUGGUAGUCCAUGCCGUAAACGUUGGGAACUAGGUGUGGGUCUCAUUCCACGAGAUCCGUGCCGCAGCUAACGCAUUAAGUUCCCCGCCUGGGGAGUACGGCCGCAAGGCUA
Molecule: ribosomal RNA, 504 nt
Filed under: uncultured Actinomycetes bacterium
Lineage: Bacteria; Bacillati; Actinomycetota; Actinomycetes
Description: bacterial SSU rRNA
Rfam family: Bacterial small subunit ribosomal RNA
Source: RNAcentral